Molecule: ribosomal RNA, 233 nt
Filed under: uncultured bacterium
Lineage: Bacteria
Description: partial 16S ribosomal RNA
Rfam family: Bacterial small subunit ribosomal RNA
Source: RNAcentral
CGGCGGACGGGUGAGUAAUGUCUGGGAAACUGCCUGAUGGAGGGGGAUAACUACUGGAAACGGUAGCUAAUACCGCAUAACGUCUUCGGACCAAGUGGGGACCUUCGGGCCUCCCGCCAUCGGAUGUGCCCAGAUGGGAUUAGCUAGUAGGUGGGGUAAUGGCCCACCUAGGCGACGAUCCCUAGCUGGUCUGAGAGGAUGACCAGCCACACUGGAACUGAGACACGGUCCAG